Molecule: ribosomal RNA, 1500 nt
Filed under: uncultured bacterium
Lineage: Bacteria
Description: bacterial SSU rRNA
Rfam family: Bacterial small subunit ribosomal RNA
Source: RNAcentral
AGAGUUUGAUCCUGGCUCAGGAUGAACGCUAGCGGCGUGCCUAAUGCAUGCAAGUCGAACGGUAGCCACGAGACCUAGUUUUGUGGUGAGAGUGGCGGACGGGUGAGUAACACGUUGGUGACCUGCCCCGGAGAGGGGGAUAACUGCUGGAAACGGCGGCUAAUACCGCGGACGUCGUCGCGGUUAGAGAGCGGCGACUGAAGGGGAGAGGGCGUCAAGCCCUCUUCGCACUCCGGGAGGGGCCUGCGGCCCAUCAUCUAGUUGGUGGGGUAAGAGCCUACCAAGGCCGAGACGGGUAGGGGGCGUGAGAGCGCGACCCCCCACACUGGUACUGAAACACGGACCAGAUACCUGCGGGUAGCAGCAGCAAGGGAUAUUGCGCAAUGGGGGCAACCCUGACGCAGCAACGCCACGUGGAGGAAGAAGUCUUUCGGGAUGUAAACUCCUUUUCUGGGGGAAGAAGGCCGACUUUGAGUCGGCAAGACGGUACCCCAGGAAGAAGGCCCGGCUAACUACGUGCCAGCAGCCGCGGUAAAACGUAGGGGUCGAGCGUUAUCCGGAAUUACUGGGCGUAAAGCGCGUGCAGGCGGUGUGGGAAGUCGGACGUGAAAGCUCCUGGCUCAACUGGGAGAGGCCGUUCGAAACUCCCAUACUAGAGGACGGUAGAGGCGAGUGGAAUUCCCGGUGUAGUGGUGAAAUGCGUAGAUAUCGGGAGGAACACCAGAGGCGAAAGCGGCUCGCUGGGCCGGUUCUGACGCUGAGACGCGAAAGCUAGGGGAGAGAACGGGAUUAGAAACCCCGGUAUUCCUAGCCGUAAACGAUGUCAACUAGGUGUAGGGGGUGUAGAAGCCUUCUGCGCUGCCGCCAACGCAGUAAGUUGACCGCCUGGGGAGUACGGCCGCAAGGCUAAAACUCAAAGGAAUUGACGGGGGCCCGCACAAGCAGCGGAGCGUGUGGUUUAAUUCGAGGCAACGCGAAGAACCUUACCAGGGUUUGACAUGCUGGUGGUAGGGAGGUGAAAGCCGACUGACCCUUCGGGGAGCCAGCACAGGUGCUGCAUGGCUGUCGUCAGCUCGUGCCGUGAGGUGUUAGGUUAAGUCCUGUAACGAGCGCAACCCACGUCGUUAGUUAUACGUGUCUAGCGAGACAGCCGGUGAUAAGCCGGAGGAAGGUGUGGAUGACGUCAAGUCAGCAUGGCCUUUAUAUCCUGGGCGACACACACGCUACAAUGGCCGGUACAAUGGGCAGCGAAGUCGCGAGGCAGAGCCAAUCCCGGAAAGCCGGUCUCAGUUCGGAUUGCAGGCUGCAACUCGCCUGCAUGAAGUCGGAGUUGCUAGUAACCGCAGGUCAGCCACACUGCGGUGAAUACGUUCCCGGGCCUUGUACACACCGCCCGUCACGUCAUGGGAGUUGGCAACGCCUGAAGUCGGUGGGCUAACGGCGCUUCGGCGUCGGGGCAGCCGCCUAAGGCGGGGUCGGUAACUGGGACGAAGUCGUAAC